This 161-nucleotide ribosomal RNA is filed under the name uncultured bacterium. RNAcentral's name for it is "partial 16S rRNA". It matches the Rfam family "Bacterial small subunit ribosomal RNA", at positions 358 to 511 of the family's 1533-position model. The record is from RNAcentral.
GGAAUCUUCCACAAUGGACGCAAGUCUGAUGGAGCAACGCCGCGUGAGUGAAGAAGAUCUUCGGAUCGUAAAACUCUGUUGUUAGAGAAGAACACGAGUGAGAGUAACUGUCCAUUCGAUGACGGUAUCUAACCAGCAAGUCACGGCUAACUACGUGCCAG